GAUGAACGCUGGCGGCGUGCCUAAUACAUGCAAGUCGAGCGAACAGACGAGGAGCUUGCUCCUCUGACGUUAGCGGCGGACGGGUGAGUAACACGUGGAUAACCUACCUAUAAGACUGGGAUAACUUCGGGAAACCGGAGCUAAUACCGGAUAAUAUAUUGAACCGCAUGGUUCAAUAGUGAAAGACGGUUUUGCUGUCACUUAUAGAUGGAUCCGCGCCGCAUUAGCUAGUUGGUAAGGUAACGGCUUACCAAGGCAACGAUGCGUAGCCGACCUGAGAGGGUGAUAGGCCACACUGGAAAUGAGACACGGUCCAGACUCCUACGGGAGGCAGCAGUAGGGAAUCUUCCGCAAUGGGCGAAAGCCUGACGGAGCAACGCCGCGUGAGUGAUGAAGGUCUUCGGAUCGUAAAACUCUGUUAUUAGGGAAGAACAAAUGUGUAAGUAACUAUGCACGUCUUGACGGUACCUAAUCAGAAAGCCACGGCUAACUACGUG
Molecule: ribosomal RNA, 497 nt
Filed under: uncultured bacterium
Lineage: Bacteria
Description: partial 16S ribosomal RNA
Rfam family: Bacterial small subunit ribosomal RNA
Source: RNAcentral